RNAcentral lists this ribosomal RNA (447 nucleotides) under uncultured bacterium. RNAcentral's name for it is "partial 16S ribosomal RNA". It matches the Rfam family "Bacterial small subunit ribosomal RNA", at positions 29 to 523 of the family's 1533-position model. The record is from RNAcentral.
AACGAACGCUGGCGGCAGGCUUAACACAUGCAAGUCGAACGCCCCGCAAGGGGAGUGGCAGACGGGUGAGUAACGCGUGGGAAUCUACCGUACCCUACAGAACAACAGUUGGAAACGACUGCUGAUACCGUAUACGCCCUACGGGGGAAAGAUUUAUCGGGGUAUGAUGAGCCCGCGUUGGAUUAGCUAGUUGGUGGGGUAAAGGCCUACCAAGGCGACGAUCCAUAGCUGGUCUGAGAGGAUGAUCAGCCACAUUGGGACUGAGACACGGCCCAAACCCCUACGGAAGGCAGCAGGGGGGAAUAUGGGACAAUGGGCGAAGGCCGGAUCGAGCCAUGCGGCGUGAGUGAUGAAGGUCUUAGGUUUGUAAAGCUCUUUCCCGGAUGAAGAUAAUGACGGAAGUCGGAGAAGAAGCCCCGGCUAACUUCGUGCCAGCCGCCGCCGUAA